This 5534-nucleotide long non-coding RNA is filed under the name Bemisia tabaci. RNAcentral's name for it is "lncRNA ENSSSA3NGG012594". The record is from RNAcentral. Lineage: Eukaryota; Metazoa; Arthropoda; Insecta; Hemiptera; Aleyrodidae.
GAAAAAUAAAUUCCCCCUCCUUCCCUACGCAUAACAAUCGGAUGAGCUUUGCGUGUUGUUAUAUGGGCGAAAAUGAGCACUUUGUCCGGAAAAACCUCGAUAUUAGGAACUGAAAAGGAACUUUAAUAAGCAUACAACACUUGAUUACCCAUAAAAUUUUGGCUGAUAAAUCCGAAAAUGACCUUAGUCUUUCUCCAUCGUGCACGGAUUUUCCGGAAAAUUGACUGUUCUCUGGAAAAUCUAGUUUCUUAGGGAAAAUUCCGAUUUUUGUGGGGAAAAUCGAGCUGACUAAGAAAAACGGAGAUCAUUUGCGGAAUCAGCGCUUUUUACUCGCAAUCAGUUGAUUAGUUGCAGGCAAAUUUAUCUGUUCCCUGGAAUCUAGCGCUUUAGAAUAAUCCCCUAUCAGCUCCGAUAAUUUAGCACGAUUCCAGAGGGGGGGGGGGGGGGCACAUUUUCAUUGUUUCCUUUUUAUGAGAAAGCAUCUUUUGCAUUGUGCUUUGUUUCUUUUCCGUCUACUGGUUCAUUUUCAGUGGCGUGGCUCACUUGUGGUAAAACGAUUUACCUGCCAUUUAAACCUAUGGAAAAGGAUCGAUGAACAGGGUGUUAGUAAUCUUAAUAAUAGAUUAUUUAUCGUAGCCUCAAAUAUGGAAAAGUAUCGAUAGUCGAGCAUUCACGCCUCGCCACUCUGUUCAUUAUCUAAUUCAUUUUUUCAACCUUAUUUUUUUCAUUUCAAAUUUAUAGAGGCCUCUCUGAUCGACUGUAUGUCUGGAAAAUCAUUGACGAAAAGAUCUGCAUCCGCUAAUGAAUCAUCCCAUAGACAUGAACGCCAUGUUAAUGAAGAUCUAGGAUCAAUGUCAAUGUUGCGCAGAUCCUUCUAUUCUUUUAAGGCAGCUCUAUCGUCCAAAGGUCCAAGACAGUUUUCCGACAAUGGGAAGCUUGAGAAUACAACCACAAUCAGUGAGACUAAGAGUUCAGUAAGUGGUGGCUCCUCGGGCGAAGAGGAUGGGCAUGAUUUUCUCAGGCAGCUAAGGCAGAAAUGCUGGCGAGACUGUUUGAAGAACCAUGGCUACUUCUACGAUUUGACCACAGGCGAAAGCCCUCCGCUCUCGGAAGGUGUGGUGAUAGAAGAACAUCAUUGCGCUUCGAAGCCGAGCCUAAUAUGCGUUUGUCGAAUGUCGACGUCGCUUUCUGACAUGCUAUCAAAGUGGGGCCUUCAUUCUAAAUCCUAUACAGCGAGGAACGGGGAGCUAAGAAAACGGAGAAUCCUCAAUCUUCUUCGGAAGAAACAUGUGUCGGUUUACAGCACAGAGGAUUUGCGCAUACUUACCAAGGAGAGUUUUAAGGAUCAUGGUGUGGCGUACAACGAGAGAACCAAGAAUGAAGUGGAUAUGAGGCUGAGAGCCGAGGCGAGGAUGAGAGCAGAGUGGGCAGCAGCCCAAGAAGCCGAGGCGAGGAUGAGAGCGGAGUGGGCAGCAGCCCAGGAAGCCGAGUCCAAACGUGGAAGUUCACCCGAGCUCGAUAUCCUGGAAGAUGAAGAUGAUGAAGGGGGUAGCUCAAAGGUCGUCUCGAGAAGAUAUUCGGAAAGUAGUCCACGGCGAAGCCCAGGAAGCAGCCCACGGCGGAGCCCACUAGAUCGACAUAGCAAUUCCUUGGUGACGAAGCGAUAUGAUGGAAAUAAAUAAGUAAAUGGAAAUAAUGAAAUAAAUGGAUAAGAAAACAAUGACGACGCACCUCUUAUACUAUAUGUAUUUGAUGUUAGUUGAACACUAUAAAAAUCAUGUUUCAAUCGGUCUGUUUGAAGGAGACCGCUUUUAGCAGAAAGGAACCAAGCCACAUCAGCUAAUGCCAAAUUUGUCUAGGCAAUUUAAAUUUUUAUACAAGAACAUUCUGGCGGACUCCUUUGAAAAUGUUGAGGAACUUGCUUCGUACUAUGCAGAAAAUUCAUUGAAAUUUGCAGAAAAAUCCGCACAACCAUUUUCAUGUACAAAAGUUAUUGGCCCAAUCAAAUUUGGCAAUAGCGGAUGUAGCUUAAUUCAUUUUUGCUUAACGCGGCCCAAGUAUGAUUGAAAUAAUACUGGCCGGAGACGGCCGGGGAAAAUGGGGUGUGCUGGUGCUCGUUUGAGCUGCAUAAGAAACAUUGCAAAAGUGGGCGUGAUUAUUUUGAAAAUUGGACAAAGGGAAUUUACAUUUAAUCAAAAAGAACUUGGCACCGAAAUUAUGCUAACUAAUGAGCCGUGGGCAUGGCACAAGAGCAUUGUUGACAGGGAUCAUGAGUUGAAGAGGCUCAUUGUCGGCGUCGUCAACACUGGCGUCAUUAGUUUUCAAUAUUUUGUGAGUGCCAUUUAUUCAGAAGCUUUUGGUUCAAUGGUUGAGAGUUGAUUACCUUUAUUUUCCUCUUCUUAUUUUUCUCUCUCGCAUCCUCUAGAGAAAUAUUAAAUCGUAUAAGUUCAUUUCUUCCUGUAAGGUUUCCAGUGUUUCGAUUUUCCAUAAGUUCGUCUAGAAAUAAAAAUCGCCUUCAAUCCGAGGUUUAAGCAACUUUAUAUGCAUAUCUAGCCUCACAAAUUUGUACGAAGCUCUCUCCGGUUUUUGUCACCUUCACUCAUGCAGUGCUUUGUCUAAGCAUCAGACAUGCAUUUUUUUACAUUGUCAGGUAAAUAGUUUUUUCUCUUUGUGUUUUCGUAUAGGGGAGAAAAGAAAUAAGCAAUCCGAACAUUAGAGUUUAGAGACAAACAUUUUAACUUUGCGGAAAAUCUAAAUUAUGGUUUAUUUCCUUUAGUCUUUCUUUAAAUAAAAUUCAUCUCUAUUGAUCAAUUCGCCACUCCUCUUAUGUCAGGGCAUAACUGGCAUUUUGAGAAGAGUCUUGCGUUCGUACAACUCCACGCUUGUCAUAGUUUACUUGAAAAUGGAGUUACGACUUUUCAAGUUGAAUGUUUCCAUAGAGUGAUUUUUGUAGAAUUAGGUCUAAAAAUUGUAAUUUGAGAUUUCAACGUUCUCUCUUUUUUUUUGGGGGGGGGGGAGGGGGGGGUGUUGAAAUUAAGGAUCUAUAAAGUCUUCGUUGGUAAACUUACUCUCAUAGGCCGAACGGUGAGGAAAUCCUGUAUAUUGACAAUAAAUAAAAAUAUGAAGUUAUGAAAUAAAUGUAAUAAAAAGAAGCUAUGACUAAUUUCAUUUAUUAAAAAGAAAAUAUGAUUAGGAAUGAGUAGUAUAAUAUUAAGAGCAGAACAAAUAUUGUGAACAAAAGUUCAUCGAUAGCGACUACACCGAAAAAAAAGGAUGCUGACUUAACAUUCGAGAUGUAAAAAAGUGCGUGCGACAACUCACAAAACGCUGAGUUGACCGUCACAGCAGUUGCUACAGCAGGUCAAGAUGUAAAGUUAACUGCUAUGGUGGUUAACUCAGCGUUUAAGAUGUCACAUACUUUGUUAAAUCCAGAAUGUUAAGUCAAAAUCUUCCUUUUUUCGGUGUAAUAAUCAAAUAUCAUAAAAAAUCAAAUAUUUUGUUCGGGUAAAAACUUUUUUUCGGGUGCGGGUUGACAGUCCAGAGGAAUAAGAUUGGAAAAAAAACCAUCAAAAUUAGCAGUUUAGUUGAAACAAUGUCCUCACCUCACUGAAAGGCUCAAUUCAUUGUGUGGUGGGCUUCAAUGCGAGGAUCUAAAACUACUGGGUGCCUUAUAUUCUUCAUUUACGUACACUUCGAAGACAUCUCUUACACAAGAAUAGUUGUUCUACAAAUCAUGAUCAUCACAUCACGAUAUCACAACUUGAGCAAAAAAGAUACUGACAUCCAACACCUGUAUGCAACUGUUCGUACCUAGGAGAUACAUUAGUUGUACACGGAUAAAAAGAGCACGAGGUUGUUUGAGGAUAUGGACAUUUCCAAUUACUUGUGGUAGAACCCCUAUUACUUGUGGUAGUGCCCCAAUUGAUUGUGGUAGUACCCCAAUAAAUUAGGUUACUAACCCAAAUGUUGCGGUACAACCUCAACUAGAGUUGCGGCACUACUACAAUUAAUUUGAAAUGUCCAUAUCAUCUAACAAAUUGGGGUAGUAGCACAAUUUUAGGGGAUAACCCCUUACACUUAUUUUUCCGUGUAUAACGAAGAAUUGAAAGCUUUCUGCCAUUUAGAUCCCUGCAGUAGGGUUGCACACGUGAAAUGAAAAAUAUGAAAGACUUGAAAUGCCCUUUCAUGAUAUUUCACGCGGCUGUGAAUAUUUCAUAUUUUUCAGGGGCUAGAGUAUGCAACCCGCACUAAUACACCCAAAAACAGAAGAAAGCCACAAUUUAUACAUUUCGCGAAAAAUAUAAAGGAACCGGUGUUUUUCAAUACCUUCCAUAAAUUUCUGAAAUUUCAUGAAAUAUUUCACGUGAAAUUUCAAGAUUUCAUUGUACAAGAAAAAUUGCAACUCUGAGUAAGACCCACCGUUGGCGCCGCAUCGCGUAGCAGUCGAAGUGGUGAGUGCGCGGACAGUCAAAACGCCUUCACUUCUGGGCGUAUGCAACCCGGACAACCCUGGAGCCCGAAUCGUUGCAUCCGGGAAUUCAAAUGCAAUUUGUACAGCGUUCGUCGCAUUCGACACUAUUUUAAGGGAACUUUGCGUUUCUCUUACAUUGUAACUUAAUUCGAGCGUUGUCUCUCGUGCCGAUAAAGUUAGAAAAACACUGUUGCCAAACUGCGAAAAUUGUCUCUUAAUAGAGGUGUCGUCAGCUAAGUUGUCGGUUGUAUUUACUUUCGGUUUGCAAGCACCGACGACGAUUUUGGGCCUAUCCACAGACCCUCGCUUGCUACUAUCCAUCUAAAAACAUCGGACUCUCGCGGUAAUGAAUAAUUAACAAAGUAACAAAAGCCUGAAUUGGUUUUCAAACAUCGAACAACUUUACUUUUCAGCUACAACGAAAUUACAACCACGUAAAGGUCGCGAAUCAUAACUGUAACAUAGUUUGUUUUACAAUAUGAUCACAAGACGAAUGUUUUCAAGAUGGAUAGUAGAGAGCGAGGGUCUGUGGAUAGGCCCAAAAUCGUCGUCGGCGCUUGCAAGCCAAAAGUAAACAACCGUCAACUUAGCUGACGACACCUCUACCACCUACGGAUCGUUGUUUUCUCGUGAUUUUCCAUCAUUUAGUGGGUCUAGCUCCAGCUUCUUGGAUGGAUGCCGUUCAUUUCUUCUGAUUAAUAAUCUGUAAAAAAUAAUAUAGUAGAAUCGUAUUUGAAACAAAUGGAGUUCCGGUAUCAUACAAUUUCAUUAAAUAAGUAUACUAGAAAUCAGUCGUGAUGUUAUAAGUCAUGCAAUUUUAAAGGUCUUCAUUUUGAAAAAUUGGUAGAAUUAAAGGGAAAAGUAUGGGGACUUGACUAUCUUGUUUCACUCACUAAGUUACGAGACAGAAGUCUAGCAUACCACUACUGGUAGUAGUAUGUUACGAAUGAUAUAUACAUUCUCUUUUGAACAUAUUGACUCCUCCAGGUAGCAGAGUAUUUUAAAAUCCUAUGGUGACUAAUUUUCAUUAUAUUUUCAUGUUAUCUUAUUUCAAAGUAUAUAC